GAUGAACGCUGGCGGCGUGCCUAGCACAUGCAAGUCGAACGGAGAUUACGGACGGAAGUUUUCGGAUGGAAGCCUGUAAUUCUUAGUGGCGGACGGGUGAGUAACGCGUGGGCAACCUGCCCUAUACAGGGGGAUAGCAGCUGGAAACGGCUGGUAAGACCGCAUAAGUCGGUUAAAUCGCAUGAUUUGAUCGGGAAAUGAGCAAUCAGGUAUAGGAUGGGCCCGCGUCCGAUUAGCCAGUUGGCAGGGUAAAAGCCUACCAAAGCGACGAUCGGUAGCCGGACUGAGAGGUCGGACGGCCACAUUGGGACUGAGACACGGCCCAAACUCCUACGGGAGGCAGCAGUGGGGGAUAUUGCACAAUGGAGGAAACUCUGAUGCAGCGACGCCGCGUGAGUGAAGAAGUAUUUCGGUAUGUAAAGCUCUAUCAGCAGGGAAGAUGAUGACGGUACCUGACGAAGAAGCCCCGGCUAACUACGUG
Molecule: ribosomal RNA, 481 nt
Filed under: uncultured bacterium
Lineage: Bacteria
Description: partial 16S ribosomal RNA
Rfam family: Bacterial small subunit ribosomal RNA
Source: RNAcentral